GGCUCAGAUUGAACGCUGGCGGCAUGCCUUACACAUGCAAGUCGAACGGCAGCGGACCUUCGGGUGCCGGCGAGUGGCGAACGGGUGAGUAAUAUAUCGGAACGUACCUUUCAGUGGGGGAUAACGUAGCGAAAGUUACGCUAAUACCGCAUAUUCUGUGAGCAGGAAAGCAGGGGAUCGCAAGACCUUGCGCUGAUUGAGCGGCCGAUAUCAGAUUAGCUAGUUGGUGAGGUAAAGGCUCACCAAGGCGACGAUCUGUAGCGGGGUCUGAGAGGAUGAUCCGCCACACUGGAACUGAGACACGGUCCAGACUCCUACGGGAGGCAGCAGUGGGGAAUUUUGGACAAUGGGCGCAAGCCUGAUCCAGCCAUGCCGCGUGAGUGAAGAAGGCCUUCGGGUUGUAAAGCUCUUUCGGCCGGGAAGAAAUCGCACGGGUUAAUACCCUGUGUGGAUGACGGUACCGGAAUAAGAAGCACCGGCUAACUACGUG
RNAcentral lists this ribosomal RNA (490 nucleotides) under uncultured bacterium. Its description in RNAcentral is "bacterial SSU rRNA". It matches the Rfam family "Bacterial small subunit ribosomal RNA", at positions 21 to 507 of the family's 1533-position model. The record is from RNAcentral.